RNAcentral lists this ribosomal RNA (440 nucleotides) under uncultured bacterium. Its description in RNAcentral is "partial 16S ribosomal RNA". It matches the Rfam family "Bacterial small subunit ribosomal RNA", at positions 338 to 795 of the family's 1533-position model. The record is from RNAcentral.
CCUACGGGUGGCUGCAGUAGGGAAUAUUGCUCAAUGGGGGAAACCCUGAAGCAGCAACGCCGCGUGGAGGAUGAAGGUUUUCGGAUUGUAAACUCCUGUUGUUAGAGAAGAUAAUGCGGGUGUCUAACGGAUAAGCACCCGCUAACUCCGUGCCAGAAGCCGCGGUAAUACGGAGGGGGCAAGCGUUACUCGGAAUCACUGGGCGUAAAGGGCGCGUAGGCGGGAUAGCAAGUCAGAUGUGAAAUCCUAUGGCUUAACCAGAGAAGUGCAUUUGAAACUGUGAUUCGAGAGUAUGGGAGAGGUAGGUGGAAUUCGUGGUGUAGGGGUAAAAUCCGUAGAGAUAAAGAGGAAUACUCAUUGCGAAGGCGACCUGCUAGAACAUAACUGACGCUGAGGCGCGAAAGCGUGGGGAGCAAACAGGAUUAGAUACCCGAGUAGUC